RNAcentral lists this small RNA (780 nucleotides) under Vigna angularis var. angularis. RNAcentral describes it as "Non-protein coding transcript". Lineage: Eukaryota; Viridiplantae; Streptophyta; Magnoliopsida; Fabales; Fabaceae. The record is from RNAcentral.
CAGCACUUCAGUCUGUGGUUCGAUUCUUUUUGAUGCAAAGUUUGAUGAGUCCUCUUGUCAUAAGUUCCUUCAUUACUCUUUGCUUCCAUGUGGCAUUCAGUUGGUUUAUGGUGUUUAAAUCGGGACUUGGUAACUUAGGAGCAGCAUUUUCUAUUGGUACUUCAUAUUGGCUGAAUGUGACUAUACUUGGAUUAUAUAUGAAAUUCUCUUCUCAUUGUGAAAAGACUCGAGCCCCAAUUUCAAUGGAAUUAUUCCAUGGGAUUGGAGAAUUCAUUCGCUAUGCCAUUCCUUCAGCUGGAAUGAUUUGCCUUGAAUGGUGGUCGCUUGAAAUACUAAUUUUGCUUUCUGGUCUUCUACCAAAUGCAAAGCUAGAAACAUCAGUCUUAUCCGUAUGUUUAAACAUCAGCGCAACAAUCUACACAAUCCCAGAAUCAAUUGGCGCAGCAGCAAGCGCUAGAGUUUCGAAUGAAUUAGGUGCUGCAAGUCCACAAUCAGCAAAAGUAUCUGCUUAUGCUUCCAUGAUACUGGCAGCUACCCAGGCCAUUGUGGUGGGCUCGAUAAUUUUUUCUUGCAGGCAGAUUUUGGGUUAUGUAUUCAGCAAUGAGCAGGACGUGGUGGAUUAUGUCUCAGAAUUGGCUCCUCUCUUAAGUCUCUCUGUUAUGCUGGACUGCUUGCACGGUACCCUUUCAGGUAUUGCGAGAGGAUGUGGGUGGCAGCACUUAGGAGCAUACGUAAACCUUGGAGCCUACUAUGUUUUUGGAAUUCCAAUUGCUGCUAUAU